RNAcentral lists this long non-coding RNA (218 nucleotides) under Homo sapiens (human). Its description in RNAcentral is "non-protein coding lnc-LENG8-1:1". Lineage: Eukaryota; Metazoa; Chordata; Mammalia; Primates; Hominidae. The record is from RNAcentral.
AAGCAAUCCCCUAGUGACUUCUUAGAGCACAUCAUCAGACAGUUGGGGUAAAAUUCUGAAGUGGAUUAAGGGAGGGGUGCUGGUUUGCCUGGAUGGCUACAUGAACAUAGCCCUGGAACCAACCAAAUAUGUAACUGGACAACAGAAAAAUAAGUACAGGGUGCAUUAAUCAGAGGCAACAAUGUUUUGUACUUAAGUACACAGAAGACACGAUGUGA